GAUGAACGCUGGCGGCGUGCCUAAUACAUGCAAGUCGAGCGAACGGACGAGAAGCUUGCUUCUCUGAUGUUAGCGGCGGACGGGUGAGUAACACGUGGAUAACCUACCUAUAAGACUGGGAUAACUUCGGGAAACCGGAGCUAAUACCGGAUAAUAUUUUGAACCGCAUGGUUCAAAAGUGAAAGACGGUCUUGCUGUCACUUAUAGAUGGAUCCGCGCUGCAUUAGCUAGUUGGUAAGGUAACGGCUUACCAAGGCAACGAUGCAUAGCCGACCUGAGAGGGUGAUCGGCCACGCGGGAACUGAGACACGGUCCAGACUCCUACGGGAGGCAGCAGUAGGGAAUCUUCCGCAAUGGGCGAAAGCCUGACGGAGCAACGCCGCGUGAGUGAUGAAGGUCUUCGGAUCGUAAAACUCUGUUAUUAGGGAAGAACAUAUGUGUAAGUAACUGUGCACAUCUUGACGGUACCUAAUCAGAAAGCCACGGCUAACUACGUG
This 497-nucleotide ribosomal RNA is filed under the name uncultured bacterium. RNAcentral describes it as "partial 16S ribosomal RNA". It matches the Rfam family "Bacterial small subunit ribosomal RNA", at positions 28 to 507 of the family's 1533-position model. The record is from RNAcentral.